ACCUGGCUGGCUCAGUUGGUAGAACAUGAGACUCUUACUCUCACAGUCUUGAGUUCAAGACCCAUGUUGGGUG
RNAcentral lists this transfer RNA (73 nucleotides) under Felis catus (domestic cat). It matches the Rfam family "tRNA". Rfam says of the family: Transfer RNA (tRNA) molecules are approximately 80 nucleotides in length. The record is from Rfam by way of RNAcentral. Lineage: Eukaryota; Metazoa; Chordata; Mammalia; Carnivora; Felidae.